This 283-nucleotide long non-coding RNA is filed under the name Lathyrus oleraceus (garden pea). RNAcentral describes it as "Pisum sativum (pea) long non-coding RNA (PSAT_LNC033139)". Lineage: Eukaryota; Viridiplantae; Streptophyta; Magnoliopsida; Fabales; Fabaceae. The record is from RNAcentral.
AAAUAGUGAUGGUUGAUCCAAUGAAUCUGAAAAUUGACAUGCUUAAACUAGACAUCCUAAUUGACAUUUUGGUGUUGAGUUUGCAUUUUUAGAAUUUUUGGUUGUUGAGAUAUGAUCUGUUUAAUGUAGGUGUGACAAUGUGUGUCACACCAUUUCUUGUCCAACUUGCUGAUUUUCUUUCCCAUUCCAAUUAAAUGCCAAGUGAUGUGAUUUUUUGCAUGGUGCCUCUUCUGGAUGUUAGGAAUGAUCAUGGAGUUUUGUGGAAUUUUUAGAUCCAUUUUUG